RNAcentral lists this ribosomal RNA (530 nucleotides) under Clostridioides difficile. Its description in RNAcentral is "bacterial LSU rRNA". It matches the Rfam family "Bacterial large subunit ribosomal RNA", at positions 1769 to 2297 of the family's 2925-position model. Lineage: Bacteria; Bacillati; Bacillota; Clostridia; Peptostreptococcales; Peptostreptococcaceae. The record is from RNAcentral.
UCAGGUGGCCGCAGAGAAUAGGCCCAAGCGACUGUUUACCAAAAACAUAGGUUUCUGCUAAGUCGCAAGACGAUGUAUAGGAGCUGACGCCUGCCCGGUGCUGGAAGGUUAAGGGGAUCUGUUAGAGCAAUCGAAGCAGUGAACUUAAGCCCCAGUAAACGGCGGCCGUAACUAUAACGGUCCUAAGGUAGCGAAAUUCCUUAUCGGGUAAGUUCCGACCCGCACGAAAGGCGUAACGAUUUGGGCACUGUCUCAACAACAGACUCGGUGAAAUUGUAAUUCCGGUGAAGAUGCCGGAUACCUGCGACAGGACGGAAAGACCCCAUGGAGCUUUACUGUAGCUUGACAUUGGGUCUUGGUACUACAUGUACAGGAUAGGUGGGAGGCUUUGAAACCAGGACGACAGUUUUGGCGGAGCCAUCCUUGGGAUACCACCCUUGUAGUACUGGGACUCUAACCAUAGGCCAUGAAUCUGGUCUUGGGACACUGUCAGGUGGGCAGUUUGACUGGGGCGGUCGCCUCCCAAAAGG